UACGUAGGGUGCAGGCGUUAAUCGGAAUUACUGGGCGUAAAGCGUGCGCAGGCGGUUUGCUAAGACAGGUGUGAAAUCCCCGGGCUUAACCUGGGAACUGCGCUUGUAACUGGCAAGCUGGAGUGUGGCAGAGGGGGGUGGAAUUCCACGUGUAGCAGUGAAAUGCGUAGAGAUGUGGAGGAACACCGAUGGCGAAGGCAGCCCCCUGGGCCAAUACUGACGCUCAUGCACGAAAGCGUGGGGAGCAAACAGG
RNAcentral lists this ribosomal RNA (253 nucleotides) under uncultured bacterium. RNAcentral describes it as "partial 16S ribosomal RNA". It matches the Rfam family "Bacterial small subunit ribosomal RNA", at positions 524 to 776 of the family's 1533-position model. The record is from RNAcentral.